CUUCCCACGCCCUAAGAGAAACAAUACAACUCCUACAGCUGACUCUCACCUUUACAAUUUGGGACCAUCUUAGUUGAGGACCACCCUAGUUACACAAUCAAGUUGUACCUUAAUGCAUGUGUAGAUCCCGACGCUUCAUAGAGUGUCGACAGCAAGUGUGUGGCUCGGGCUCGAGCCGGAUAGUCGGCAACGUUAAUUGCGAGUCGCUAGCGGUACACGCAGAUGAGAGUGCUGGGUCAAAGUUGUAGCUGCUACGCCUUUAUCAAGAGGAAUUUGUUGAUGUGCUCUUCUAGCAGCAAUGUAUGACCUACUGAGAGUACUGAAAUUCAAAGCCCUAAUUUUUCACUCAGGGAGUAGUUAACUGGCUUCAUCACAGUCUCACCUAAGGAGAGGAGAAGAGAUGCAAAAUAUCAUUGGUCUUCUUCAUCUAGAGGCUGCUUGAUUCA
RNAcentral lists this long non-coding RNA (446 nucleotides) under Amborella trichopoda. RNAcentral's name for it is "long non-coding RNA (ATRI_LNC004601)". The record is from RNAcentral. Lineage: Eukaryota; Viridiplantae; Streptophyta; Magnoliopsida; Amborellales; Amborellaceae.